GUUCGGGUUAGGUUGAUAGGUGUUGAAAUUCGUUUUAUGUAGUAUAGUAUUUGUUUCAUAUUUGAUAGUGAUAGUGUAAACUUUUUAUUGACUUUAGAACUUUUGAAUUGCUUUUCAAAUCCCAGGAAACUGGUACGAACCCGAGGAUAAAAAUAUCUAAACGUCCCCGCCCGGUUACACGUUACAAAUGGUGGCUUAGCGGUGGGAUUUGUCUAGCAUUUCUCAAGCGUAUUUUGUACAUAUAAAUUGUAUUU
This 254-nucleotide long non-coding RNA is filed under the name Mytilus galloprovincialis (Mediterranean mussel). The record is from RNAcentral. Lineage: Eukaryota; Metazoa; Mollusca; Bivalvia; Mytilida; Mytilidae.